CACCACAAGGACCCGUUCAACCGGUGUUUGCUGAAUGUUUGUAGCACGCACCCGAGAAUGCGCAAUGAGAGCUCACAGAAGGCCACGCAGCAGGGCCAGCUCCCACCCGCAGCCCAGCAUUUCAGGGCACCUUGCUGCUGUGUGCCCCAGAGCAGACGAGCGCCAUGUCCCCACCUGGCAGAAGGGAUGGAGGCUUCACUGGAGGUGGGAACCAGCUCUCUUCACCUCCCCUACACGGCUGCACUAACGUGGUCCUACGGAAGGUGUGCUCUGACAUUUUGUGGGGGAGUGCGCCGAAUCAGAGGUGCCUUUAGUUAAGCAGUGUGCAAUCAACAGGGGAAUGUCACCGAGGGAGCCCGGAUCUCUCUGUACAACCCGCUCUGUGGAGCAGUGGACUGUGUCCGUCCUCCCACAUCUCCCGUGGCCUCCCCAGGCCUCUUGGAGCCUCUCUCGCCUGCUUCCCGAGCCACCGCCUGGGGAUAGUCGAAUGCAGUCAAACACGCCAUUAACUAGGGCACAGGGGUUGUUACGUAACUGGAGAGCUAAAGCCAGCUGUGAACCACUCCUAAAUGUCGCCCGCUAAGUCGUGGUGAGUAGGGUUUUUGAGCACAGCCACUAGGGCCUUAUGUGUCCAGACGAGACCUUUUCCCUGCUAGUCCCUUUGGCAGUAUCAGCCGUCACUCGGCAAUGCCGCCGCUGAGCAGGCUGUUCCUGGAACCGCACCUGGUCUUCAAGCCGGCCGACAACAGGCGCCACACCAGAGGAGAGUCGGGGACCGCGGCCCAUUUCACCCACACCACUCUGUUGUGCUUCAGCAUCCGUCAGAAGCCUCUGGAGCAGCCCGGGUGGGGCCAGACCGGCACUGGGCUGAGCUGGGCAGGGGCUGACCAGCAGCCUCCAGCCACCUCCCCGCAGUGUCCUGAUGGUAACCACUCGGUGUCGAGUCCGCUGCUUGUCCCCCAUCCCACUCAGGCCUGGGACGCCCGGCUCCUGCUCCAUCUGUGAGGAGCUGGACUUUCCCGUUUCCCAGCCAGCGCUCAGUCCACAGCCCCGGAGGCACCAGUACUCUCGUCUGAAGCCCCUCCCAGAGUUGGUCUUGGAUCUUUGCGCCUUUGUGGAAACGCAGCUCCCAGGCUCCUGAUAAGGGACACUUGACCCACAGGGCUGACCGCUGCUCCCCUGGCAACAGCAUCCUUGGCUUUCAGGCUCUUUUAAGAAGAACCACUUAGAGCCCUGCCCACUGCAGGAUGCCGCGGGUUGCAAUCUGUCCCCCUACGUGUGUGAUCUGAUCGCCAAGACUGAGUAUCUUACAGACAUGACACAGGCAACCAGGUGCCUACGUCCAGGAAACAGCCAACGAUGUCUGAUUGCUGGGAGCUCAUUUCCCGAUUUUAAAACAGUCCAGCCCUCCACGACCUGUGCACAGAGACCACAGGCAAGCGGUGAGGGGAGCCACACGCUGCCCCUGCAAGCCUCACUGCCCGGAGCUCGUCCAGCAGCAGGGCCCCUGCUCACCCCAGAGUCUUUUCUCCUCAGCACACGCACAGUGAGCGCCUCAGGGGAUAGACGCGCAUUCAGCAGGGCAGUGUCUGGGUGCCCCUUCAGGGGCCUCCGUAGAACCUGCUGAGCAUCUGGGUCAGCUUAGAUUUCCACUGCCCAAAUGCUCCCCCGUCGAAUUAAAAGCAACCAACCAACCAGAUGGGUAAAACUCAGACCCACUUGGAAUACCAAACUGUAUCAUAUGCUUUAAAAUGAAAUAUCUUGGGCGUCCUGCCUGGGAAUGAAGUGAGGUGUCCCGCACACACUGGUUCUGGCAGUAAGGACAGGGCAGCUGCACCUUUGCUCUGAGCUCCAACGGUAAGAAAGUCUCCCCGACUGGACACUCAAUGUACCCACAGUGUGGGUGUGCUGUCUGUGUCUUGUCUUCUCCCUGGACAGUGGAACUGUGUUUAGCAGGACCUGGAAAAACUGUGCUUCUACUGAACUACCGGAAAAAGGGGCUCUGGAAUUAUCCCCGUGUUGAACAGAUCGCUUGUGCUGCCCUCAGCUAAACCCGCAGGGUGCUGGGUAACACAAUAAAACAGAGGGCCAUGGCCCCAAAGACCACCACUGUAGCAGGAUUCGUGCACCGAGAUAACCAGGGUCUUGCAACAGGAAGUGGUCUUUCAUUAUGCCAGCAAAGACCCAGGUGGAAUUUCUUAUCCAAAACCCUGGCCCUGAACAAAGAAGGGUUUUUCCUUAUAUACGGUUUCAGCCUCUUUGUCUCCCUUAUGUAUGGCUCCCUGCACACACUGGCCUGGAUUUUCUAAUGUCACCUGGCGGCCACAGGAAUGGGUACGUGGUUGUUUUUUCUUCUCUGUACACAUACUGAACCCCUCGUGGUCUGGCAAGGGUUAACCUCUUUGCUCUGUACUCGCAAGCAGAACCUGAAGUGGUUCCAUAUUCGCAGAUGGGGACUACAGUUGGAGCACUCACAGGCAGGCAGAUAAGGGCUACAAUCGGAGCACUCACAGGCAGGCAGAUAACAGCCACAUUUCAUUCCCAGGACAGAUGCCUCCCUUUUUCUUCUUCUGACCUUGGGAAGGCCUCUGCCGCAGCUUUAAUCACGUCAGUUAGAAACAAGUCUAAACAGAAAACAGGGGCCUCUGCCCGUCACUGACCCACUGGCCAUGGAAAAGUGAACUUUAAACCCUCACAGGGUCCAGUGAAUAUUUUAGGGGUUUUGUGGGACCUUCCAUUGCUCCAGAACCCUUUAGUUAUCAUAAUCUUGAGCCCCCAGUUUUUAUUGGAAACACCCACAAGAAAGGGAAGCACCAGGGCAGAGGAGAGAUUAGCACCCCAACUCUGGGCCCUUGGGGGCUGUCAGGCAUCAUGGGUUCUCAGGUGGCCAGUGUGCAGGUGGCCUGUCCAGUGGGGCUUCUACUUCAAGUCAGCCUCCGUCCACCCUGGCAGCCCUUUUUCCUGUCUUUGAGCCACGGAUCUGAGAGCCUGUGGGUUGCACUAUAGCAGAUUCAGGAAGGCCCUCAUUUCCACCAGACUGUGAGACUUGGGGCUCCACCCACAAACUCGCUCACCUUGCCAGGGCACGAGAGCAGGCUGAGGCCUGUUUCACGCUUCAGCAUGGAAAGCGUCUUGUGUUUCUUCGGUUGCACUCCAGAUGAAGUCACUUGUUUGUGUCUGGGAUUUCUCGUAAAGGGUGACUUCCCUCUCCAAAGCCUGCAGGGCUCUCACGUGGUGUGCAGCCCAGGGAGGAACAGCAGGUUUGCAGCCCACUCUGAGACAUGUGCUUCUUCCACAGUAACAGGCCUGAGCAGCCACACCUGCUGAGCAGGUGCAGUUGACUUCAACAAAGUUAAAUAGUUGUAUAGCAGGUUUAAAAUUCACAAACAUCAAACUAGGUGUACAAGGACAGAGUUCUGUCUUCUGUAACUAAACACCUUUACCAGUAGAAUAUA
Molecule: non-coding RNA, 3455 nt
Organism: Oryctolagus cuniculus (rabbit)
Lineage: Eukaryota; Metazoa; Chordata; Mammalia; Lagomorpha; Leporidae
Source: RefSeq, a predicted model, not a curated record